RNAcentral lists this ribosomal RNA (231 nucleotides) under Staphylococcus aureus. RNAcentral describes it as "partial 16S ribosomal RNA". It matches the Rfam family "Bacterial small subunit ribosomal RNA", at positions 1 to 221 of the family's 1533-position model. Lineage: Bacteria; Bacillati; Bacillota; Bacilli; Caryophanales; Staphylococcaceae. The record is from RNAcentral.
UUUAUGGAGAGUUUGAUCCUGGCUCAGGAUGAACGCUGGCGGCGUGCCUAAUACAUGCAAGUCGAGCGAACGGACGAGAAGCUUACUUCUCUGAUGUUAGCGGCGGACGGGUGAGUAACACGUGGAUAACCUACCUAUAAGACUGGGAUAACUUCGGGAAACCGGAGCUAAUACCGGAUAAUAUUUUGAACCGCAUGGUUCAAAAGUGAAAGACGGUCUUGCUGUCACUUA